CGCGCCCGGAAGGACGGUCUGCAAGGUCUGCACGGUUUGCACGGUUUGCACGAGGAAGGUGGCGACCCCGGGCAGGCUCCGGCUUUGAGGGAUUUACAGCUAGCCUGGUAAACACCGCGCCCGAGCCCUCCAGGGACCCCAGAGGCACAAGCAGCCCGGGGCUUCCUGCGGGGGGCGCUGCGGCCCGAAAUGCCCGGGUGCAAAACAAGACCUAGUAGCAACUUCCGAUGCCGCCCUGGGACAGAAAGCUGUGGGUCUCACGGGCCCCGCUCGGGGCGCCCGGGUUCUCGUGCACUUUGCCGGGUGGGGGUGGAGCUGUGCUGAUUUUCACCGAGAACACGCCACUUCCGGUGCCCCACGCAUUAUUUCGGCGCCAUAUUGUUUCCCAGACCCGCGUCCAGAUUUGGUGCGUUUGUAUUUGGCGCGUUUUCUGCAAAUCUUUUCUAGAUUUGACGGCCCUUCUGGCUUCUCUCCCGCGGUCCUCCCGGGAAGGGGCGGGGGGGGGGGGACGGUCACACACUCCCCCGGGUCCGGCCCCAGCUGGUGCGGCGCAGAGAGGCGUCCCUGUGGCUAUCGGCCGCUUGAGGCUGCAUAUGAGCUGGGAAUUAGAUAAAGUAGACGUUUAUCCACGUCCCUCAGCCAGGAGUUCAAAUCCAAAGAUGCACAGAGCAAAUCGAAGUUACGGGCAGGUGUCUGUGUUAACGCAAACCGGUCCUGCCUCAGCCCCCCACUUGGGUGGGGACAGCACUGUAGAUAGACCCAGUGGGCCCGGGUCUUCGGUUCUGCCUUGGGACCUACUUUACAGAGAAGCUGUGGGUGCAAGGCCCGGGCUUGACCUGCGGGGAUUUGUGUGUGCCCGCAUCCCGCAUCCCUCCGGGUUCCCUCCUGCCUCCCAGCUGCUGCCAGAACAGAGCCAGCGUUUUCCAUCGGCCUAGCUCUGCGCAGAGCCCUGCACACUGCAGGGAGACGAUGAGGUUAGCGUCCCCGAUGGUCUGGUCACUAAAUCACCCAGGUCCAUCCUCCAGAAGCGGGGUCAGUAGGUCUGGGAGGAUCCCAGAAACUCUCCGCCUUGAACACCUGCCAGGUGAAUCUGAGCCAGGCUGUGUGGACAAGGGGCAGUGGCUCCCAGUGGUAAGCAGGAGUUGGCCUGUGUGUGGCCACCCCACAUUUUCUGCCACAGCCACCCACGUUCAUAAUCUCGCGCACCAGUGACCUGGGCCAGCUCUUCCUUUGAGGAUACAGUGGCCGCCUUGGGGUGGCACAGGCUUUCGUCUCUCAGGAGGAGACUGGUUGUUGCAAGGACAACCGGUUUGGGUCCUGCUGACAUGUGGUGGACUGUGCAAGAUACCUAGAAAUAGGUAUUUCUGCUUUCUCUUUGGACACCGGGGGUAAGAUAUUCGCUGGAAAUAUAAAGCAAAGGGACAGUUUCAGACAGCUGCAAAGAGGAGAAUCACAGAGAGCCUGGCCUUUGAGUCCUGUGAUGGAUGGGGUUUUCAGAGGCAGGGGACUCGGAGGAGACAAGCCUCAGCCAUCCCCCGUGCAGUCAUGCCUUUGUUUUCACAGAACAGUGGAGAAUCAUGCCCCAGAAAGCACACGGUGAGGUCUGAAGAAGGUCUUGGGAAGAAAAGCAUUAUGGAAUAUAAUUAAAACAGGGUUAGGGGCCCACAUAUAAUCUGCAACAGAUCAUAAUUCUUAGGGUUGCUAUUAAAAUGUGCUUAUUUCCAGGUUGAAUGAAGCUGGCAUAGACAGGAAAGUUAUGAGGUGUGGAGUUUCGCUCCCGUGUCCUGUGGUGACGUAAGCGUGGACCUCCGGCUCUGGGCAAGAGUGUCUCCAAGUUUUGCUGGCCUCAUCAGCAGCAUGGGGAAGAGGUAAACAGUUCCCUCCCUGCUGGGUUGUUGGAGGGAUCGGGUGAAACACUGCAUUAUGUCUGACACGUGUAACAAGUGCUUGAUAAGUAUUUGCUACCUGAAAACAGUAUAACUCGUUGAAAGAAGUCCAAAGAAAUCAGUGGAAAUGUUAAGCUGGUAUGUUUUCCUGUGAAUGGAAAACCAUCGUCUUUAGGCUAAAACCAAACAAAAAAACCCCAAGUUGUAUUUUCCUUUUUGGCUGGGUUUUCCAUUAAAAAAAAUUCUUCCUAAACGUAAACAAGCAAAUGAACUAAAGGAAAUUUACAAUUGUGGGUUGUCAUUAAAUUGCAAGGCCCCCCCUUGGGACGGGGUAGAAGCCCAUUGCUCCAUACCCCUGGCCCGCGGAGUCAUUCAAGGAUGCCCUUCCCGCGACUGGACAAAACGAUGCAGGCCGAUUUUCCAUGUGUGACGUCUACCGUGCUCUGGGGAUGGUUCCCACUGGCCACUGACCAAUCUGAGGUGACUGCUUUCUUUCCACAUGGAAAAACUGCAUCUACUGGGAGAGAUCAGAGUCCCGGAGUCCUUUGCGUCUCAUGACAUCAGAAGCAUUUCCUAGUCCAUUUCCCUAGAGUCUGACCACCAGGAGCACUGACCCUGUUUUAAACGUGAAAGUCCCUCUGACAUGACUAGAAUUUUCCCCGACCACAGCCAUUUGACUCAAGUUGGAACGCACUGGUAGUGUGGGUGUUCCUCGUUCGUACCAGGGCCCCUGCUCAGAGAAUGAGUAGGAAUUAGCCUUUGCACGGACACCAGGCUGCCCUCAAGGGUAUUUACCAACUGUAUGGUCUUGAGAUAUUCUUCCUUUCCAGUUUCUGGGUAUUCAUCUGUAAAAUGAGGCAAUAGAAGCUAACAGGGUUAGCGUGUGAGGAAUAAAACCCUGGAAUAUGAAGGUUUGUUAUACAACGCUGGAUGUGUAAAUACUAAGUGAAUAGUAUUUACAUAUUCACUCAUGUAUGUAUGAGUAUGUAGUAGGGGAAGGGCUGAUAUGUUGGUAAGGUUAGGAUUGCAAAAGGUUUGUGGAAACUGUGAGAAAAAAGUUUCAGUAUGUUGGUGAAUAUAUGUCAAAUGCUCCCACUUAUCUGAAGGAGAGAUCCGGCAAAUACAUCAGUGUGGGUACAGGAGGAAUUAGUCUGUUUCCUAAAGACUUCUGGAAAAGUCUCAAAAAACCUUACAUGCCUGUUGCUUUUUAAGAAUGGUGAUGGCACUAGGUUUCCCCCUACAAAGCUGUUGCGGAUUGUGCUGUGUGUGUUGGGAGUAACAGAAGACCCACAGGGACACCAGGGGUAAGGGACUAAGGGACUAGGUCAGUGACAACCACACCAUGGCACAAACCUAGAAGAAGACCAAUUGAGUUCCAUUGGGCUUGGUGUGAGUUUCCACCUGAUACGGGUCUGCCAUGUUGAAUGGGAGCAAACAGCCCCAUCGAAUCCUCUUUGUGGAUUCCUAUAACAUGAGGGUGAACCCUGAGAAGCAGAACACUUGACUUAGGCUGUAUUCUGGAUUGUGGGGAAUCUCUGCAUCACUUCUGCAUGCAUCUGACUGUGCUCCCUGGUCUCAGAAAACAAGUAGGAGUAGUGUCCUUGUAAGAAGGGACACGAGAGAGCACACUUUCUCUUUCUCUCUGCCUCUCCACACACACACGCAUGCACGCACGCACCCACGCAGAGAAAGGCCAUGUGAGCACACAGCAAGAAGGCAGCUCUCUGCAAGCCAGGAAGACAGCCUUACUAGAAACUGAAUCAGCCAGAACCUUGAUCUUGAACUUGCAGCUUCCAGAACUGCGAGGAAUACAUUUUUUGUUGUUUAAGCCCCCAGCCUCUGCCGUGGUAUUUUGGUACAGCAGUCCUAGGAAGCAGUUUAACCGGUCAUAUCAAUCAGGGCCUGCUCCAAUGACCUCAUUUUAACUUGAUCACCUCUGUGAAGACUCUAUCGCCAAAUCAGGUCACAUUCUGAGGGACUAGAUGUUGGACUUUGACAUACGUAUUUAAGGGAAACGGUUCAGCCUAUAACCUAAUAUGGGAGCUAAGAAUACCUACUUCACUGGCUUGCUUUGAAUACUAAACAUGUGUAUAAAGCACCUGACACAGAGUAGGCCGUCAAUGGCAGUGGCUUUUAUUAUAAUGACUGCCAGUCAACAUCUUGCUGAUACUCUUUUUUUUUUUUUAAUGUUUAUUUAUUUUGGAGAGAGAGAGAGACAGAGUGUGAGCAGGGGAGGGGCAGAGAGAGAGGGAGACACAGAAUCCGAAGCAGGCUCCAGACUGAGCUGUCGGCACAGAGCCUGAUGUGGGGCCCAAAUUUGUGAACUGUGAGAUCAUGACCUGAGCUGAAGUCAGACCCUUAGCUAACAGCCACCCAGGUGCCCCUUGCUGAUACUAAUAAUACUACUAAUAAAAAAGACUACUACUACUAAUAAAUUAUAAGUAAUAUAUAAUAUAUAGUUAAUAAUAAUAAUAAUAAUAAUAAAGCUUCCGGUGCCCUCCUCUUUGCUCCGUUACCUGGGUUGGGGGGUUUCGAGCCAUAUGGUCUGCACACCCCUGGAGGAGGCCAUCCAGGGAGUGGGGCAUGUUGAACCUGGGCGGUGGACCCCACGUUGAGCCUGGCACAGGCCUGCUCCCCAUCGUAAAUGCUCUGGGAAUGUUGGCCUCCCCAAAAAGCUGCUAACAACAGCCUACCUCUCUUUCUUUCCUUGUUGACUUGUCAAAAUUAUGGUAAAAAAUACACAAAUUUACCAUCCUAACCAUUUUUAAGGGUACAGUUCAGUGGCAUUAAGUGCAUUCCCAUUGUUAUUCAGCCAUCCAGCCUCCAGAACUUUCUCGUCUUCCCAGACUGAAACUCUGUCCCCGUGAAAUCCUAACUCCCCAGGCCCUGGAAGCCUCCGCUCUAUUUUCUGUCUCUAUCAGUUUGGCUCCUCUAGGGGCCUCACGUGAGUGCGGUCAGGUCACGCGGCUUUUACCCUUAAGUGACUGGCUCGUUUGACCUCGCAUGACGUCCCCAGGACUCAUCUGUGCUGUUGGCGGUGUCAGGAUCCCACUCCUUGUUUGGAGACUCAUUGAUAUUCCCUGGUAUAGGGUAUGGCCGCACCACAUUCCCCCGCACCGCCUUGGUGGUUUCUACCUCUUGGCUGUCUUUAUCUGUCCUAAGACCUCGCUCUUCCCCACUCCCGCGUGCCCUAGGGCACUUCCUCCUUGUCAUUCAUCAUCAUGUGUGGUUACUACUCUGGAGUUGCCAUUUAUAAAUCAUGCCUUUUCCCCUAAAACUUACUUUGGCUCAUGGGACCGAAAAAGGACAAAAAACACAGGCAGGAUCACCAUGGCCGUCGUAAGCAGAGUUCUCUGUCCGGGAGAUGGCAGCUGGGUGCAGGUGCAUGGGGUGACCAGCCUCUCCGGCAUCCCCUGUCCAGUUUUAUAUAUCAAAUCUGAAAGCUUCACUACGGGAAAGUUUUCUGCAGCCUAGUAGUUUUCCACAUUGGCGCUGAGGCCAGCUGCAAGGGGUAGGAAUUACCGGCUGACUUGGCUCAGUUCACCUGGUUUUGUUUCAGGAAAUGACCCUGUUUUUUUUCAAGAGGUCAAGAGCCACCCACCCAAUGCUCGCUGGCAGGUGGGAGGUGAGCAGGGCGGGCCACGGGGACUCCCCUUCCAGGUUCAGGGUGCAGCCCGCAGGCGGGGACCCCGGGGUCACCCUCUGUCCGCGCACUGGCAGGUGACCACCUCCCUGAGCACCUGCCUGGCAUUGCCCCCACUCCGGCAUCUGGGCCGUGCCCACCAUGUCCCCCCACCCCCCCCCCCCCCCGNCGGGGCUCUGGCCCUUCCCACCUCGCGGGGCCCCAGGAGGGCAGCUCUAGACCAGCCGCGGUGCCCCGAGUCCACAGUGUGAUGCCACUGGGAAGUCUUCCCGACAGGCCACUGCGUUUCCUCUUCCUAAUCACACCCCCUACUCGCGCUUCCCUCUCCACCUGCUGGCAAAGUCAGUUCCUUUCGUGCUGUUGAUGCCUCUUGGAUGUUUGUGGGCCGUGAGGGCAUUCCCUUCCCUCUUGUCCGUCCGUUCUAGUGACAGUCCGCACUUGGGCUGGCCCUGCCUUUCUUCCUCCAUCAGUCCCUCCUCCCUCACCACCACUGCCCUUUGACCCGUCCCUGCGGCGCACGCUCACACCACAACACACACUGACACGUGCGCGCUCGCACCCCCGAACACACUCGUACCGACACAACCAGCAAACACACGCUCACACCCAAACACAUUCACACCCCCAACACACAACCAACACAGGCAAAUGCGCGCACUCGCACCCGAACACACUCGCACUCAAACACACGCGCUUACAACUGAGCACGCUCACAAUCCUAACGACUCAAACACGUGUUCACACCCGAACACACGUGUUCACGCUUGAACACACAUGCCCCAGCACACAUCUAACACUCAAACACACGCACUCACACCUGAACACAUCCAUGCACACUCACACGAGCUCCCUCUCUCACACCAGCUCACACUUACACCCCACAGGGGUCUGCGCUUCCCUGCUCUCUCCCUCCAUGACACACACUUCCCUCUGUGUUUCUGUCUGUUCACCUGCCCCUGACCAGGCCGCGGAAAGCCAGGGAGAAGAGUGGUGUGGCCCAGCCAGCUGGGAGCCAUCUUGUCCAACAGACAGAUUUUUAAAAGCAGCCUUCCUCCCAGUGUCUUAACUCACCCCCAGCAUGAAAUAACUAUUCUUAUGGCUCUGCAAUGGGAGAAGCACUACGCAGGGGUAGUUCGCUCUGGAACAACCAUGAGAAGCCAGUGCCUGCCCGCCACCUGGCUUUUUGUUUAACUGAGCUCAGUCGACAACUUAGCCAACUCCUCCUACAUCUCAGAAGCCGACCUAGUUUACUACCAGUCAGACAGCCUUUCUCCGCCCUGGAGGGGCUAACAGUUUAGUUAUACACGAGUAUAGGAGUCGGAGUCCACAGAUGAAUGACUGCAUUGUUACCCACUGUAGUGAGUGCUCCUCAAGGAGAACUCCCGGCCCCUCACCUCUUUCUUCUCAAUGGUGUCUGCCUUCCAGCUCAGACAUUCAUGCCGGUCACACCCUCAGAGCCAUCCCUCCAGAAUCUCAAUGCCCACUACUGCACAUUUCAGCCAUCACGUUCUUGCUCUGGGGCUUGCUUCCUCCAGUGCCCCCAUUCCUGCCGUCUCCUGACGCUGGGGACCUGGGGACCUGCAGUCCUUCCCUGGAGUGCCUUUCCUCGCUUUCCUCCCCACCACCCAGCAGAGAUGCACCAUUGAUCACUGCGUGGCUGCCUCCCAGGCAUCUCCAGCUCCCCUGUCACAUUCUGCUUUGUCCCUCUUGGCAAAGUCAAGGUCCUGAGUCAACGCACCUUGCACUUGGCUGUAGGAAACUGCAUUGUAUGGUGACUAUCCUCCUCGAGGUCUUGGUCAUACUCCUCAAAUGUGCCCUGAAGGCGGCCCAGAUCUGUUUUCUCGUUGUGUUGUGUCCUCUGAAUGUGCUGUCAGUACAUUCAAAUGGCUCCCUUCCGUCCCCACUGAGAUGCAUAAUAAAUACGACACUGGGAAACCAGAUGGAGGUUUGAUGCAGAGACAGGUGAUGUCAACGAAUACUUAGGUGUGCGCCUUUCUUUAAAUCUUAACCAUGUAUUAUGUGUGUAGAGUGUAGGAUACAGUUCUCUUGACUGAUCAUUUGUAUUUAUGUAUUUAGCAUUAUAUCCUUGUUGUUGCAAACGGCAGGAUCUCUUUUGUUGUAUGGCUGAUUAAUAUUUGGAUAAAUACCCAGAAGUGGAUUACUGGAUCAUAGGGUAGUUCUAUUUUUAAUGUUUUGAGGAACCUCCAGACUGUGUUCCAGGGUGGCUACACCAGUUUGCAUUCCCACCAGCAGGGCACACGGGUUCUUUUUUCUCCACACCCUCACCAAUACUUGUGAUUUCUUGUCUUUUUGAUCCUAGCCAUUCUGACUGCUGUGGGGUGGUAGCUCAUAUGGUUUGGAUUUGCGUUUCCCUGAUGAUGAGGGCUGUUGAGCACGUCUUUUCACGUGCUUGUUGGCCAUCUAUAUGUCUUCUUUGGAAAAAAUGUCUAUUCAGAUCUCUGCCUAUUUUUAUUUAACUUUUUAAAGUUUAUUUAUUUUGAAAGAGAGACAGUACACACACAGGAGGGGCAGAGAGAGAGAGGGAGAGAGAGAAUCACAAGCAGUCUCUGUGCUCACAGCACGAGCCUGACAUGGGGCUUGGUCUUACACACUGUGAGAUCAUGACCUGAGCCAAAAUCAAGAGUCAGGCGCUUGGGGCGCCUGGGUGGCGCAGUCGGUUAAGCGUCCGACUUCAGCCAGGUCAUGAUCUCGCGGUCCGUGAGUUCGAGCCCCACAUCAGGCUCUGGGCUGAUGGCUCAGAGCCUGGAGCCUGUUUCCGAUUCUGUGUCUCCCUCUCUCUCUGCCCCUCCCCCGUUCAUGCUCUGUUUCUCUCUGUCCCAAAAAUAAAUAAACGUUGAAAAAAAAAAAAAAAAAGAGUCAGGCGCUUAACCGACUGAGCUGCCCAGGUGCCCCUGCUCAGGUUUAAAUUAGAUUUUUUCUUUGCUAUUGAGUGGCAUGAGUUCCCUUUAGACCGCGUCUAACCAUGUAGUUCAGCGGCAUUAAAUACAUUCUGUGUCAACGUCACUAUUUUCCCCUUUUAAAUAGAACUUGUUUUCCCCUUUUCAAUAGACAUUAUGUUUUAGAGCAGUUUUAGGUUCACAGCAAAAUUGAGCGGAGGGCACUAAACUCCCAUAUACCCUCUGCCCUGCCACGUGCACUGCCUCCCCCAUUACCAUCACCCCCCACCAGAGUGGGGCAUUGGCUACAACUGAUGGACCUACAGUGACAUGUCACAAUCACGGCGAGUCCACAGUUUACGUUAGAGUUCACUCUGGCCGUUGCACACUUUAUGGGUUUGAACAAGGGCAUAAUGAUAUAUAUCCAUCAUUAUAAUAUCAUACAGGGUGUUUUUACUGGUCUAAGACUCCCCUGUGUUGCACCUAUUCAUUCCUCCUUCUACCCCUGGAAACCUCUGACCUUCUCACUCUCUCCAUAGUUUUGCUUUUUCCAGAAUGUUAUAUAGUUGGAAUCAUUCAGUAUGUAGUCUUUCCAGAUUGACUUCUUCCCCUUGGUGAUAUGCAUUUAAGAUUUCCCGAGGUCUUCCCAUGGCUUGAUAGCCCUUUCCGGAAGUUUUUCAUCAUCCAGAAUUGAAAAUCUGUACAGCUUAAGUUUCUUAACUGACAUAAAUUUGAUCAAGAAAUAACCUCUGCAAAGCUCUGCUGCCCAGUGCUACAUUGAGGUGUCAUUACGGACCAAAUGACAUGGAUCUUUAAUUUAAUAUUAUUUUACUUUUUAUGUUUUUUAAGUUUAUUUAUUUAUUUUGAGAGAGAGGGUGUGUGGGAGCUGGGGAGUAGCAGAGAGAGGGAGAGAGAGAAUCCCAAGCAGGCUCCAUGUUGUUAGCACAGAGCCCAAUGUAGGGAUUGAACUCACGAACCCUGAGAUCAUGAACUGAGUGGAAAUCAAGAGUUGGACACUUAAACGACUGAGCCACCCAGGUGCCCCUGGAUCCUUUGUUUUAAUACCCCAAGUAGCUCUUAUGUUUUACUGAAUCAUUUACAACAGAGGACAUGACAUGUGAUGUCAGGAGUGCCCUCCUCCCUCUCAAGGUGCCCUCUCUACCUCCUGUCCCCCCUCUUUCCUCCUCCUCUCUGCCAUCGCACUUCCUGGCUCCUUCUUUUAUGAAAAGUGCUGAUAGGAUGGUAUUAGGUGUGCUAGGUUAUUAUGGUAACAGACAAACAACGAAAGACAAAAACUCUCAGAACUUAGGACUAAAAGUUUUUUCUUGCUCAGUCUGCCUGUCUGGUCGGACUGGCAGGUGUCCCUGCUUUUGGAAAUUCCUUAGGGGUCUAGACUUAUGGGGGCCCCAUUGGAACACGUGUUCCCAUGAUCGCUGCACCAGGAAAGGGAAAGUAGAUGGAGACACGGCAACUUGAAACUCCCACCUAGAAGUGACACACAUCAGAUGCUUUCGCAUUUCACGGGGCAGAGCACGUACAUGGCCAUGCUUUACGUCAAAAUGGACAUAGUUCCACGUGACCGAAAGGAAAGGAGAACCAGAACAUUUGUACAAAGCCCUAAUGACUAUCAUAAGGAGAAUAGAUUGCAUUAAAACCACUUUGUAUGUAAGCAUUUUUUUGGGAUGCAGAUAACCGAAUCUUUGUCUAAAAUCUCAACUUUCCAAUUUCCCAAAUAUUUACACAUCUAAUACAGCCUUUGUUUGAAGCAUAGCCUUGUGACGGGCUGGGUCUAACGCUCUUUCCCAGUGGAAGCAGCGUCAUCGGAAGCCAAUGCUUGCAGGUUAGCUGGUCCAUUUGUGGGCACCAGGAGGCUUCAGCCGGGGCUGGCAGGAUCCCUCAGAGUGUUUUAAAGAAUCAGUACGGCAUGAUAAGUAAAGCCAAGAGGAGGUGCAGGCCAUCUGGGACCUUGUGCAGGGAAGUGAAUGUGUGCAUCGUCAGUGGGUGAUGAGGCUUUGCAGAGGGCCGUGCGUGUGUCUGGGGAAAAUGGGGUGACAGGGGGCCAUGAGGAGGUGUGUGGGGUUGGUGAGGAAAGAGGGGCAAAUGGUCAGACAGAGCUAGGUUCUGUUUGUGACUCUGACAACUACCAGCUUAGGAAAUUGGAUGAAUCCCUUGUUUUCCCUAAACAGCAGUUUCAUUAUCUAGAAAAUGAGGACACUAUGACGAACUGAAGUAAAUUGAGACAAGGCAUGUAUGUGCUUAGCACAGUGCUUGGGUCAGUAAAGUAUAGCUGCGAUUAUGAUUUAAUGUCACAGACAGCCACGACCUGAUUCUAGGUGGUUCUAGUCCCUAUAGCCUGUAUAAGGUAGCCCUCUGCCACACCCCCACCGCCUCCCAAAAGACCCCAUGACUGAGGGAGAAGUUCUGAUUGCUCCAGUCUCCUCUUCCCGUCCCCCAGGGAGAUUCAUGAACGCUCCCCUUGAGUUCAAGCCAGGAACCACCCCCAUCUCGGCCAUGUGAAGUUUUUCCUUGUACACCAGCCCCAUGCCCCACCAGGGGCCAUGUGAUGGGGUUCCACUGCUCCAGCUUUCCAUUUUCCGGGCCAAGAUGAAUUGACAAGAACUCCCAAGACACUGCGAAAAGAGCGGCCACACAGCGCUACACCUAAGAGCUUUGGUGGCCACAGGGCAGGAUGCACAUUGAGGGGCUGUUGGAAAGGCACGAGGAAAGGGUCCACACCUGCACUAACACUUACUUGAGAUGCCUCCUGCGUCCGUGGAGCUCAGAGUAAUUGCUUCCUGGCCGCUCCCGCCACCUGCUUUGGGCGGGCUCCUCCACGGCCUCUCCUCCAGGGCUCCCAGCUGAUAGCGUUCUUCCUGAGGUGCUCCCUCCCAGCCAGCCUGUUCCAGCCGAAGCCCACGCCUCUGCCAGGGGCAUGUCUGCCUUGGAUCUUGUGAGAAGGAGUCCAGGGUGCAUGUGUGUGGAUGUCUGGCUGAGGUUCCGGGCCCCACAGGGGCUUUUAAACUGGGGCGUGGAGGAAAAUGGGGCUCCGCCUGCCCAGAGUGAGAUCGGUUGAUGGGAGAACUGAGUAUCUAGAUCCAUCCAGGGCGCUGAGGAGGCAUGGACACCGGUCUUGUGUGUGACAAAGCGGGGCUGUGGUGGGAGGGUCACCGGGCACGGCUGUGUGAGUGGUAUUUCGCAGCAGGCGUCUGGGAAAGAGGGAGUCCAACCCAACCCAGAUCGGGGAGCCCUUUCUUGACCUGUAUGAGGGGGGCCAUGAGGGCUGGUGGUGUUUGGAACUGGAGCCCGCCGUGCUGUGGGGGCAGAGGGCCGUGGAAGGGGAGAAGCUGAUGUGCAGCACGAGGUUCACUGCCACAGUAGUUCAACCAAGUUUCUUUCUUUUGUUCUUUGCGUUGUUUUGUUUUGUUUUUGUCACUGGCAUUUAUUAUGAGUCUAAAAUGCCAAAUACCACGGUAGGCACUUUACUUCCAUGAUGUCCCUGCACAGCAGCUGUUAGGUUAGACCCACUCGACAGAUGAGGAGACUGAGGCCCCAGGUCGGUGACCUGGCCACAGCCAUCAGCAGGAUGGCUUGAGUCGAGAGCUAAGAACUUUGCUUUGCAUUUGUCUGCUCCUCCCCACCCCCACAUGGAGGCCUCCCGAUCAAUGAUGUAUUUUAUUUUCCUCCCCACCUUUGUAGUAGACAUUACAUCAAUUUUCAAAUAAAAAUAGCAUCUUUCUGUGGGAUGGGAAAAGCACAAAGAGAGUAUCUUGAAAAUUGCUAAGUGUCCCAGAGACAGUAUUGCAAACAGCCUCAUUAUACGGUGUGGCACAAAGUGUUGUGGUUUCUCUUAUUAGGAUGCUGUAAACAUGUCCUAGAAUUGGCGUUUCCUUUUACUGCCUAAGGACUGACCCGGAGAUGGGUGGGAAAGGAAAGGAAGAAAGGACUUCUCUGACUAGCUCUCCAGACAGAGGCUAUCCAAGGUGUCUUCAUCCAGACAGAAAUCAACCUCACUGAAAGAGAAUCGGUUAAAUAACUAAAGGAAAAAUGAAGAGUGAAUGAGUGAAUGAAUGAAAAGGUGGUAAGGACCAGAGUAAUUGCUUCUGGAAGAAUCUUUUUUUUUUUUUUUUUACUUUUUAAAAAGUUUAUUUAUUUAUUUUAGAGGGGUGGGGGAAAAAGAGAGAGAGAGAGAAUCCCAAGCAGGUUCCACACCACUAGUGCAGAGCCCAUUGCGGGGCUUGAACUCACAAAUUGCAAGAUCGUGACCUGAGCUGAAGUCAAGAGUCUGACGCUUAACUGACUGAGCCGCCCAGGCGCCCUGCUUCUGGAGGAAUCUUGACCCUAACUGUCAACUGAAUUCUAGUGCAUCUGUUACCUUUUCUACGGGACAAACCUAUAGGGCCUCUUUAACUUUAGAAGGGAGCCAGAACGAUGGAAUUGAUAGGCUUACUGACCAGGCCCUCCCGAAGGAAAACUGUAUGCUGUUUAAAGAACGCUACGAAUAUGAACAAACCAAUGAUUGGAUGCUAAGUAAUUUCAAAUUGUCUUUUGCCUCAGCCCUGUUCCGCACUGUUGGAGACACACUGGGGAGGUCUGUGUGCACUGCCUUCACGAUUCCUGCAGGAAGGACUCCCCAUUUCAAAAGCAAGCCCCCAAAGUGGAAGCAGGGAGCCCGUGCCCUUCAUUGCAUUGUGGAAGAGAAGGGGCCAGGGCGUCACGUCCAGGGAUGAAGUGUAGGGGCGGGAGGCACUGACCCAGGGCGGCUUGUGGGGAGUGAAGAAGGGCUAGCAGGGCAGCCCUGGGGCCGGUGCAGAAAACCAGCCCAAGUGGGAGCGGAAGGAGGGGGACCAGCUGAGCUGUGGGUGAGGGAGAGAGCGCGUUGUUAGGUGGUCCUGGGGUGGGGAGGGGCGUGGGAGAGGGGAGCUCUGAAUGGGAAAGUAGUUCAGGGCUCUGAUCCCGAGCCCGCCUUCACUCCUGUGACUCUGGGAGGAGAGUGUCACCUGUACUCACCCUUCAGCCUAGCAAGGAGAGCUGAGAUCUCGUCUAGAUCAGACACAGCCUGCGUGCCGGUGGCGGCUGCCACAGUCUGGGAGAGCGCUGGCAAUGGACGCAGAGGCUGGGGUUGAGCCCCAGGGGGUGAGGCAUGGGGGUGGAGAAGGGGGGAGUCGAGGAGGGAGUGGGGCGAGAGAAGGGUGUAGGGCAGUCCUUCUUAGUGGAGAACACUCAGAUGCGCUUGGGACCUUAGGGGAGGCAUCUAGAGAGAGAGAAGCAGGGUCACUUGUGGAGGAAGGGCAGGAGGAAGCAGGAAGGGGGGAAGCACCAGAGGGGGAGAUGGGUUUUUGUAAGGAGGAGGGACGAUUCAAACCCUUCAUAGUGGGAAGACCUGGGACUCAAGGGGGUUCCUCACACGGACACGUUUUGUGUUCCCUCCAGAGGAAGGUGUUUGGGUAAAUGGCGUGGCCAGCGUCACAGGGACUGAGGGGCGGGGAGUCCAGCAUUUUCAAGAAAGCACAAAGAUCCUCACUUGGAAUCAAGAGGGUGAAUUUAUAGUGAAGUUGGUUGCCUGCUCUGCUGCUUUUCUCCAGGAGCCUAGAGAAUGGUUCCUAGGGCUCCAGGAUAAGGUUCACAGUUGCCAUUCCCUGUCCGGCACUUCCCAGUCAGUGUCAGCGGGCUGUGAUGGCCGGAUGAGGAGGGAGGGGCCCGGUGCCCUUGGCAGCAGGUGCACACUCCCUCGAGCCACGGGGACCUGCAGUCAGUGUCAGGGGCUUUCUCCCCAGGGUCUGGAGGCCUCCCUCAUUUUGGGUUCAUCAUGAAAAAGAGGAAUAGCCUAGGUCUCAUCACCAUUUCACUGCAGAGUCGAAGGCACUAAAAAAGUCAGUCUGUUUAGGAAACAUGCAUUGAGCACCUAGGGUAUUCCGGGCAUGGUUCUAAGCCCUGGGGAUUAGAAGCGGGUGCUGUCAGUGCAGAGCCCGAUAUGGGCUUGUCUCACAGACCUUAAGAUCAUGACCUGAGCCAAAAUCAAGAGUCGGAUGCCUAACCGACUGAGCCGCCCGGGUUCCCCUGUGGAUGCUUCCGAAACCCGCUCCUCUGAGUGCGCAACAGGGGUCCCUCGCGGAACAGAAACACAUUUAAGAAGUUCGCUUAAUUUUCAGUCGGGAGCGUGUCAUCACCGCUGGCCUCUGGCCAGUGUUUCUGCCCCCGCUCAGUGAGGAAGCUGCUUUCUGUGUGAUCCGAAUCGGUCCGUGCAGUGGCUUUGACCCGCGUCCUGCCUUCAGCUCAGCCUUCUGGAUGGAAAGGGCAGAGACGGGUGGGGUCAUUGCUGUGUGGGAGAAACCAGCCAUCCUAUGCUGAGUCAGCACCUGUUGCUGAAGACACUGCAAGACCGGUGCUCAACCCCUGUAACCUUUUGCCGCUUGUUGAGCCAGAGCCUUUUUAAAUGUUCCAGAACUCUCUCUAGGCAGAAAGAAUGCGCCCGCAGCCCUCAUCAGGGCAGCCCCCAACAGGACAGUUGGCUGAAAGCAGGAAUCCGUGGAAAUGGGGUCACCUUCCCAGUGCACGUGGUAACGGGGCCUGUGGGGGGCCGUCUGCAGUGAGGGUACCCGUGGGGAGCCUCUCUGGAUCUGAGGUGUAACGCGAGCGUCCAGGUCUCGGCCGGAGCAGCGGUCUGCCCGGCUGGGGGUGAGGAUGUGGAGGAGGCUGGGGCAGCAGUCAGGGCCCCGGGGAUACACCAUGCUGGCCGCUGGCCCCCCUGCAGCGCCCGUCCUGGACUGCCUCUAAUCUGGGGGGUGUGCCCCCUGGAGCUCCUCCCGGGGCUGACGUUUCUCCCGGGGCUGGAAGACUUCCCUCGGUGUGCCUGUGUGACGCUGAAAACGUCCCGGGUCCCAAACGAGGCGAAAGGGAAGCAGGCCCAGCCAAGACCUGUUAGUCCUUCUUACGGCCCCGCCUCUGCGAGCCACCUGCAGCACAGUGUCCCCGGGGCCUCCGACCCCUGGGAGGGCCCGGGGAGUCUGCUUCUGUGAGCGCUAGCUGAAGACAAAUGGUCGCCCGUGGCACUUUCCUGGGCGCCCUCGGUGAGACACCGGUUUCUAUUCGGUGGGUGUUUUCCUUGGUCCUUCGCCAAACACGGCUUUCCCGGAGGUGGAGCAAACCAAUUUGUUAACAAUUGUCAUAAAAUGAGGCCAGAGGAGGGGAGGGAGAAGAAUCUAGAGGCAAAACCCUCAAGGCAAGGACCACAGGCGGAGUGAGAGGCUCUGGUGCAGGCACUCCCUUUGCCUCCGUGCCUGGCCCUCAGUCCGACACACCCUCCUGCCCCUCGGGGCCUCCUCCACCAGGAAGUCUCCCUGCUGUUCUCCAUUGUAUUACCCGCUCUCUUUAUUACCCCGAAGGACAUGACCUCCACAUCAUUGUCAUUUUGAUUUGUUUUUAUGUUUCGUCGCAUGGUGCAGCCCUGCUUCAAAGUGCCCUGCUCCUGAGCCAUCAGGACAUUUUUGUUUCCUUGUUUAUUUUUUUUAAUGGAGUUCAUUUUUUUAGAGCAAUGAGACAUUGCUUGAUUCCAUUCAAUCAUAGCAAAAUUGAAUGGAAGGUGGAGAGAUUUCCCACUUAGCCCCUGUCCCCCUCACUCGGCCUCCCCCAAUAUCCACAUCCUGAACCACAGUGGUACAGUUGUUGUGAUCGAUGAACUUCCAUUGAUUGGCGCGUCAUCAUCACCCAGAAUCCGUAGUCCAUAUCAGCAUUCAUUCUUGGUGUUGUGCAUUCUGUGGGUUUGCACAAGUGCCUAAUGACACGUAUACACCAUUGUGAUAUCACACAGUCUUUUCACUGCCCUAAAAAGCCCUCUGUGCUCGUCUAUGCCUCCCUUCCCCCAGCUGCAAAUCUUACUGUCUCCAUAGUUUUGCCUUUUCUAGAAUGUCAGAUAGUUGGAAUGACACAGUGUGUAGCCUUUUCACAUUGGCUUCUUUUACUUAGUAACACGUCUUUAAGUUUCCUCUGUGUUCUCGUGCUUUGGGAGCUCGUUUCUUUUCAGCACUUAAUGCUGUUUCGUUGUCUGGGUGGACCUGUUUAUUUAUCCAUCACCUACUAACGGGUAUCUUGAUUGCAUCCAAGUUUUGGCAGUUAUAAGGCUCCUGUCCACCUCCGUGUGCGGAGGUAUGCGUGGACAUAAGUUUUUAAGUCCUUUGGGUAAAUACCCAUUGCCGGGUCACAUGGUAAGAGCAUGUUUAAUGUGUAAGAAAUUGCCAAACUGUCUUCCAAAGGGGCUGCGCAGUUUGCAUCCCCACCAGCUGUGAGCUAGAGUUCCUGUUUCUCCACGUCGUCCCCAGCAUUUGGUGUUCUCAGUGCUUCCAGAUUCUGGCCGUUCUCACAGGUGUGCAGUGGGGUGUUCAUAGUCGCAUUUCCCUGAUGACAGACGAUGUGGAGGGUCUUGUCCUGUGCUCAUUGGCCAUCAGGGCAUCUUUUCCCCAACGCAGUGACAGACACACGACAGCCACCACCAGAACUGAGUAUGGGCCUCGUUCCCGAGUUCCUUAUUUCUGAAAUGAGGAUGAGAGCUUCCCGCAGGCAGAGCACGUCUGUCCUGUCUGCUACAGUGGGCCCAGUGGGGUAAGUAAGAGCCAUACCUGCUCAUGUGAUCACGGAGAGACUGCUUCACCAACCUGAGCCUCAAGCUCUUCAUCUGGGAAAUGGGAGAUUAAUAGGACCUACUUUGAGAGAGUUUCCAGCGGUAAAUGUGCUAAUACAUAUAAUGUAGCUCAGAGCCUCUCACACGGGCAACGCUCAGGAAAGAUUAGCUGUCGACAAUGAUUAAUUGUUUUUUGGAAGCACGACGACGUUCCAUUAGUCCAAAGAAGGCCUGAGCUGGGACAGACCAGCUGGUAUUCUCUGACACCAAGAAACAUGAAGCCAAGCAAGCAGAGUGGUUUCUUGCAUUGUUUUCUUGUGGAUAUUUUUUCUAAAAUAGGUGCCUAGGAGCUUUUGGGUAAUGGAUAGGUAGAAAAGGUUAAAACAAAACAACCAUGCCAUGGAGACAGCUCAGUAAACUUUAAGUCCCCAAGCAAGUGUCUGCUGGGAAAACACAGUUACGAUUUAAGAAUUAAAUUUAGAGAUUAAGAGGAAUUAGCUAGUUUUGGGAUGUCACCCAGGAGUCAGGCUCAAAUGUCAGCAAAGGGGUCAGCUGGUUAACGGAAGACUGGUCUCUAUGCCACUCAGUCAUUUUCGCGACUCUGCUCAAGGUCAGUGCUGGCCUGGCCUCCUUCCUCACACCAUUAACACGACAAUUAAUGAAAUACUGGAACAGGGCCCAGACGAAACACUUGUUUAGAACACUUCCUCUCCACUUCACCGGCACAAACAUCUAUUCUGGGUUUGGGCUAUUUUCCAACGUGGGUUACAUGAUGAUAAACAAGUUGUUUUACUUUAAUUAAUUAAUUAUUAUUAUUAUUAUUUUUGGUAAGUGAAAUUUUAACUGGGUACUUUGCAAAACACAAUUAAAAAAAAGUUAUUUGAAGAAACUAUUGAGCGGAAAAGUUAGAGACGUAAAGAAUUGCAUGUGGCUAUAAAAAUGUUUUCCACUAAGCUCUGUUUAUUCCUUGGCAUUUGAAAAGACCUGCUUGGACACGUUUCUGACCAGAAGUAUGCAUUUCCCACAGAUUUGGGGGUUUUCUUAUGUAGACCGUCAAUAAUUAUCCAUCUUGUUUUAAGGACAAAAAUGGAAAGUGAAAAGUUCAAGAAAUCAAUUAGCUGGCUUGAAUUUGCUGAGGAAUUCAGAACAACGUUCAUGGCUGAAAUUUACAAAGUAAAUCAACAUAAUAUGAAGAAGUAAAUUAACCCAGAAUGACACAAUGCAAGGAUGGUUCCCAUGUAACCUCAUAAAUUUCCUGCUUGAUGGAUUUCAAGUCUCUGAUUUCUAAUAAAAUUCUCAUGAGAAUGUGGUAUUGCUCCAUAAAAACUCCUGAACUCUCCCCAUGAGAAACGGCUAGUUUAUAAGGGCACAUGGGUUCACGGCUGUGGUUUAUUUAUUAAAAAUUUCUCAGUAAAUAUAUCACGGUCCAGUGGAUAGCGCCCCGUGAUUGUGGAGGGGCUGUGUGUCAUUUCUGCUGCUCCCAAAGUAUGAAGAAAAACAAGAAGAAGCAUGUCAGGAACUCUCUGAACCAGAAAAAAAGAAAAGAAAAAACCCACAGCACUGUAACCUUUUUUUUUUUUUUUUCCAGGAGAAAGUUCUAUGAGAUCUGCUCCUUGACUUUACCUUUGGUCCACAAAGACCCCGUAGGAUUUUCACAUUUGUCUUAGGAAAGUCUGAACACGCCUGCCAGAUGGUUGACAGUGACCCCCACAAGACACAGAAUGGAGGCUUGGUGUGGUCCCGGUCCCUGCACGGGGCACACAAAAGUUGCCAAGUGGGUAUUGCAAGUUUUGAGGGACUUCAAAUAUCUCAGAGAAAAGAUGUGUAACUACACAUAGUCACGAAGAUAAUGAGUUCAUGGCUUACUCACUUCUCUUCACCCGGAAAAAUAAUGUACGCUAAAUGCUGUGUUUUUAAUCUGGGCCAAAUAACUUGGCUGAAAGCUCUCUGGGCUUAUCCUACUUGAUUCUACACACAGUCCUAAUAUGUAGGCUGUUACUGACACCCUUGUUUUAGAGAGAGGGAUGCUUUCCACAGAAAGGGGAAGCUGCUGAUGUCACGGACCUCACGAGGAAGGGAGCAGGUAUUCAAACCCAGGGAGACCGACUGAAUGCCGAUAUACUAACGACCAGACUAGACUUUGAGGGAUUUGCCCCCUUCCCCCCAGGGAGGGUGGUGUGGGUCUUGAGGACCUUUCAGGAUUGCACCCUACUCAUCCAGGAUUCUCCUCAAACAAUCCACAGGUUCCAAGCUCCCACUGGCAAAGCACCAGGAGCGAGUUACAAAGUGUGCUGAACUACCCAUGGAGGGGCCACAUCUGAUCUUCAGAGCAAGCCUCUGCCCCUUCCUCCCACCGGGUUCCAAUAUCCAAGAGUCAGACCUUAUGUUUCCAGCCCCUGGUGCGUAGAGGUGCUUGAUUAAAUCUUUUGAUAAGAAUUAAGUUUUGGUCCAUCACUGAGAAGAGAGCAUAAUUAACAGGCUUAAAAAAAAAAUAGGCUGCUUGUUAGAGCAGUUUUAGAUUCACAGUAACAUUGAGGGCACAGUACAGAGUGCUCCCUCACCCCUGCACCGGUUAUGGUUGAUGAACCUGCACGGAUCCACCAUCAUCACCCAGAGUCCAUAGUUCACGCCAGGACUCACUCUUGGUGUUGUGCAUUCCGUGGGGUUCGACAACUGUAGAAGGACAUGCAUGCACCAGACAGUAUCAUUCAGAAUAGUCCCACUGCCCUAACAGUUCUCUGUGCUCUGCCUUCUAACGCUUCCCUACCCAGCCCCUGGCAACCACUGCUCUUACUGUCUCCGUUCUUUCGCCUUUUCUAGAAGGUCAUAUAGUUGGAAUCACUCAGUACAUUGCCUUUUCAGAUUGGCUGCUUUCACUUAGUGAUUUGCACUUAAGGUUCCUCCUUGUCUGGUCACGGCUUGAUAGGUCAUUUCCCUUCAGUGCUGAGUAUUAGUCCAUUGUCUAAGGAGAGCAUAAUUUUCAUCUCAUAGAAAUGAAAAGCACUCCCUAGAUCCAUGGAAUUUGUACUGAACGUCGGAGCCAGAACCAGCACAGAACUGCUGGCACAUCCAGGAUCCACUGUCCCUAAAGAGACACAGAAAAUAUUUUUUCCCCCUGAAUGGCAAUAGCGAUUGGAUCCUGACCCAUAGGUCCCCAUGAUAAAAAGCAGCCCAUGUGGCCCUGUCAUCUGAAGUGCGAACAGCUAUUAUGUAUACGGUCCAGUCUCAAGGACCGGCAUGCUUAGCUUCAUGAAUAAAGCGCUUGCUGGAAAUUGCACUUCUAGGUAUUUAUCCAAAGGAUGCAGGUGUGCUGAUUCAAGGGGCACGUGCACCCCAAUGUUUAUAGCAGCGCUAUCAACAAUAGCCAAAGUAUGGAAAGAGCCCAAAUAUCCAUCGACAGACGAAUGGAUAAAGAAGAUGUGGUGCAUACGCACGAUGGGAUACUACUCGACGAUCAAAAAGGAUGAAAUCCUGCCAUUUGCAACAACGUGGAUGGAACUAGAGUGUGUUAUAUGCUAAGCGAAAGAAGUCAGAGAAAGAGAAGUAACAUAGGAUUCACUCAUAUGUGGAAUUUAAGGAAAACAGAUGAACACAGGGGAAGGAAAAAUAAAAUAAGAUAAAAACGGAGAGGAAGGCAAAGCAUAAGAGACUCAAAUAAAGAGAACAAACAGGGUUGCUGGAGGGGAGGUGGGGGGUGGGGAAGCUCUGAAUGGGUGACGGACACUAAGGAGGGCACUUGUUGGGAUGAGCACUGGGUGUUAUAUGUGAGCAAGGAGUCACUGAAUUCUCCUAAAAUCAUUAUUACACUGUAUGUUAAAUAACUUGGAUUUAAAGAAAUAAAAAGAAAG
RNAcentral lists this long non-coding RNA (20888 nucleotides) under Lynx pardinus (Iberian lynx). Lineage: Eukaryota; Metazoa; Chordata; Mammalia; Carnivora; Felidae. The record is from RNAcentral.